RNAcentral lists this ribosomal RNA (484 nucleotides) under uncultured bacterium. Its description in RNAcentral is "partial 16S ribosomal RNA". It matches the Rfam family "Bacterial small subunit ribosomal RNA", at positions 30 to 507 of the family's 1533-position model. The record is from RNAcentral.
AUUGAACGCUGGCGGCAGGCCUAACACAUGCAAGUCGAGCGGAUGAAGGGUGCUUUCUCCUGGAUCCCGCGGCGGACGGGGGUGAAAUGCCUAGGAAUCUGCCUGGUAGUGGGGUAUAACGUCCGGAAACGGGCGCUAAUACCGCAUACGUCCUGAGGGAGCUAGUUGGGGAUCUUCGGACCUCACGCUCUCAGAUGAGCCUAGGUCGGACUAGCUAGUUGGUGGGGUAAAGGUCUACCAAGGCGACGAUCGGUAAGUGGUCUGAGAGGAUGAUCAGUCACACUAGAACUGAGACACGGUCCAGAAGCCUACGGGAGGCAGCAGUGGGGAAUAUUGGACAAUGGGCGAAAGCCUGGUCCAGCCAUGCCGCGUGUGUGAAAAAGGUCUUCGGAUUGUAAAGCACUUUAAGUUGGGAGGAAGGGCAGUAAGUUAAUACCUUGCUGUUUUGACGUUACCAACAGAAUAAGCACCGGCUAACUUCGUG